This 697-nucleotide long non-coding RNA is filed under the name Zea mays. Its description in RNAcentral is "drought responsive lncRNA". Lineage: Eukaryota; Viridiplantae; Streptophyta; Magnoliopsida; Poales; Poaceae. The record is from RNAcentral.
GUAGGCUAGAGUUGGAACCCAAUAGAAAUCACAAGUUAAGGUUCAGGCACAUGGAUAGCUGUUUUACAUGCACUCUUAUUCAAGGCUAAAUCUUUGGUAUAUUCCAUCCUUUCAAGUCUUCUUUACUGCAUCUUCCCAUGUCAACUUGGGUCUUCCCUUACAUCUCUUUCUAUUGCUAUCGCGCCUUAGGAUUACACUACACACUAGUGCCUCUAGAGGUCUCUGUUGCACAUGUCCAAACUAUCUCAAUUGGUGUUGGACAAGCUUUUUAUAGUUUCAUACUCAAUCCGUUCUUGUAUGGCCACAAACUCAACGCAACAUAUGCAUUUCCACAACAUUUAUCUGCUAAACAUGUUGUCUUUUUGUAGGCUAACAUUCUACACCAUAGAACAUAGCAGGUCUAAUCGCCGUCCUAUUAAACUUGCCUUUUAGCUUCUAUGGUACCCUCUUGUCACAUAGAACGUCAGAUGUUUGACGCCACUUUAUCCACUCAGCUUUAAUUCUAUGGCUAACAUCUUUAUCAAUAUCCUCGUCUCUCUGUAGCAAUGAUCCUAAAUAUCGAAAUCUAUCCUUCUUGUGCACUACUUGAUCUUCUAAACUAGCAUCCUUCCUCAUGUUUAUCAAUACCAAAGUCACAUAUCAUGUAUUAUUUUUUAGUUCUACUAAAUUAAAAACCUUUGGACUCUAGAAUCUCCCA